GACGAACGCUGGCGGCGUGCUUAACACAUGCAAGUCGAACGGAAAGGCCCUGCUUUUGUGGGGUGCUCGAGUGGCGAACGGGUGAGUAACACGUGAGUAACCUGCCCUUGACUUUGGGAUAACUUCAGGAAACUGGGGCUAAUACCGGAUAGGAGCUCCUGCUGCAUGGUGGGGGUUGGAAAGUUUCGGCGGUUGGGGAUGGACUCGCGGCUUAUCAGCUUGUUGGUGGGGUAGUGGCUUACCAAGGCUUUGACGGGUAGCCGGCCUGAGAGGGUGACCGGCCACAUUGGGACUGAGAUACGGCCCAGACUCCUACGGGAGGCAGCGGUGGGGAAUAUUGCACAAUGGGCGGAAGCCUGAUGCAGCAACGCCGCGUGCGGGAUGACGGCCUUCGGGUUGUAAACCGCUUUCGCCUGUGACGAAGCGUGAGUGACGGUAAUGGGUAAAGAAGCACCGGCUAACUACGUGCCAGCAGCCGCGGUGAUACGUAGGGUGCGAGCGUUGUCCGGAUUUAUUGGGCGUAAAGGGCUCGUAGGUGGUUGAUCGCGUCGGAAGUGUAAUCUUGGGGCUUAACCCUGAGCGUGCUUUCGAUACGGGUUGACUUGAGGAAGGUAGGGGAGAAUGGAAUUCCUGGUGGAGCGGUGGAAUGCGCAGAUAUCAGGAGGAACACCAGUGGCGAAGGCGGUUCUCUGGGCCUUUCCUGACGCUGAGGAGCGAAAGCGUGGGGAGCGAACAGGCUUAGAUACCCUGGUAGUCCACGCUGUAAACGGUGGGUACUAGGUGUGGGGUCCAUUCCACGGGUUCCGUGCCGUAGCUAACGCUUUAAGUACCCCGCCUGGGGAGUACGGCCGCAAGGCUAAAACUCAAAGGAAUUGACGGGGCCCCGCACAAGCGGCGGAGCAUGCGGAUUAAUUCGAUGCAACGCGUAGAACCUUACCUGGGUUUGACAUGGAUCGGGAGUGCUCAGAGAUGGGUGUGCCUCUUUUGGGGUCGGUUCACAGGUGGUGCAUGGCUGUCGUCAGCUCGUGUCGUGAGAUGUUGGGUUAAGUCCCGCAACGAGCGCAACCCUUGUUCACUGUUGCCAGCACGUUAUGGUGGGGACUCAGUGGAGACCGCCGGGGUCAACUCGGAGGAAGGUGGGGAUGACGUCAAGUCAUCAUGCCCCUUAUGUCCAGGGCUUCACGCAUGCUACAAUGGCUGGUACAGAGAGUGGCGAGCCUGUGAGGGUGAGCGAAUCUCGGAAAGCCGGUCUCAGUUCGGAUUGGGGUCUGCAACUCGACCUCAUGAAGUCGGAGUCGCUAGUGAUCGCAGAUCAGCAACGCUGCGGUGAAUACGUUCCCGGG
This 1343-nucleotide ribosomal RNA is filed under the name uncultured bacterium. RNAcentral's name for it is "16S ribosomal RNA". It matches the Rfam family "Bacterial small subunit ribosomal RNA", at positions 28 to 1378 of the family's 1533-position model. The record is from RNAcentral.